RNAcentral lists this microRNA precursor (214 nucleotides) under Corchorus olitorius. RNAcentral's name for it is "MIR159 microRNA precursor family". It matches the Rfam family "MIR159 microRNA precursor family". The record is from Rfam by way of RNAcentral. Lineage: Eukaryota; Viridiplantae; Streptophyta; Magnoliopsida; Malvales; Malvaceae.
GUGAGCUUAAAGGAGCUCUCGACACGCCAACUCUGAAAGGAAAUGAUGGCACAAAUUGCCACAGCUGCUAGUUCAUGGUCACCCCUGCCUGUGCACCAAUCUUCCUCUCCGAUCCACGGUGGCCGGCGCAGGCUAGGGUUUGCAUGAACUAGGAGUCGUGGGUUGCCUUCAUCUUUUUGGUAUUGGUGUGAAGGGAGCUCCUUUUUGCUCUUUC